UUGUUUUUAUCAAAGCACAAGUGUUUUGAAAUGAUCUUAAUCAUAUGAAAUGUUUCAGAAUCAACCAUGACAAGUCGACCCUGGCUUUUGGACUUUAUACUGGAAACAAUCUGGAUGGUCCUUUCCUUUGCUGGUCCAAAGAACAGAAUGUCCAUUAUUACCAUAAACGAUCUAAAAGGUGGGAAGAGUAGCCUAAACCAAUACUCAAGUAAAAGGAUAAAUACUUGGGUAAAGUACAAAAGAAGUACAAAAGUCCCCG
Long non-coding RNA from Pygocentrus nattereri (red-bellied piranha), 259 nucleotides. RefSeq lists it as uncharacterized. The transcript is spliced from 3 exons. The record is from RefSeq and is a predicted model, not a curated record. Lineage: Eukaryota; Metazoa; Chordata; Actinopteri; Characiformes; Serrasalmidae.